CCUUUUGAGUCUGGUUCCUCUCAAGGUUUCUUCCUCGUGUCAUCUGAGGGAGGUUUUCCUCGCCACAGGCUUGAUCAUUGGGGAUAGAUUAGGGAUAAAAUUAGGUCAUAUUUAAAGUCAUUAAAAUUCUGUAAAGCUGCUUUGCGACAAUGUCUAUUGUUAAAAUUGCUAUAAAAAUAAACUUGACUUAAAAGUGCUGCUUCGGACGAAUAAGAACCUUCUGAUUUCCUCCUGAUUUUCCGUCUCCUCAUUGGGCGGAGCGACUGAUAUGAGGAAGGAAAAAAGGUAAUGAUGAAGUGAUGAUCAGAUGAGAGCACAGGGAUUGUCAGGGUGAUUUCUCCUCACGUGGCGUCUGUUUAAUGACCUGUUUCUCCACAUGCUUUAAUAAUUCUCCACACUUCAUGUAAACUCCACAGAUGGGUUUCAAGUUAAUGUGGGUAAGUUUAUACAUUUCCAUCAUUUUCUGUCUUCUACAGUGUUUUCUCUCGAAUGUCAUUAUUUGUGCUGAUCAGCUUCAUGGACACGGAAUGAAACUCUUCUCAGAAUCAGCGUGUGGACUUUGGAGGCUGCAGGAGACAGAACUGAUUUAUUCCUGAUUUAUUAUGAACUCUGUGCUGUAAAUGUGAAAUCCUUUACAUCCUGAAUGAGUUCAGAACCAAAACAAAUAUACUGUAAAAAUAAUUAAAAGCUUUAUACAGGACAACAAGCCUUUAAUUCUAUUGGCAGUGUGUUUGUUUGGUUCUGAAUUCAUUUAAGAUUUAAAACAUUUCACAUGUAACUCAUGAUAACUUUCACCAAAACAUCACACUUCUGCUUUUAAUUGAAUAAAAACUACUUGACAGUAAUAACAGUCCAGCUGUUCCCUGGAUACCAGGAGUUCCCUCACAUUGGUGGGCGUGUCCUAGAAGAAUGGAGCACGUGCAGUUGUGUAAUCCUCCAGUUUCGGUUGAAAACAGGAAGAAUCGUCACAGACAAAACAGGAAGUGGUUCCACAGGUCACGUGUGUGAACAGAACAAACAGACAGACAGAGUGAAAUCCCAUCCUCUGUGAUGAUCAUCUGGUAAUACUUAGAAAGUUUGAGUAUGUCAUUGUGUCAUUACUUUACAGUAAAGUUUUGUGAGAAUAAAAAGCUCCUAGUGAUGUCAGACAGGAUGAUCAGACUCAGGCCUUACUGAAGAACUCUAAAUGAUUCACACGCAUUAAAUGCAGUCAGAGGGAAUUCCUGUCUAAAAAUAUCUCGAGAUAAGAAUGAUGAUGGUGUGAGUCACUGCAGUUAUUCAGAAUCGCAUCUCCUGAUCUCUUUGACAGAAUGACAUUUAUAUGUAGGAGGAACAUUUUGUAAUCAGUAACCUGUGUGUGUAAGUUUAACAGUUAUUCCCUGAAAUCGAGUUGUACAUGAGCUGAUGGGUGAUGAGGCGCGUAGCACCGAGAUUAAGUGGAAUAACUGUUUUAUUCUAUCCACAUUCACUGGAUUUUGAGAAACAGAGCAUUUUUAUUUUUUUGAAAAUUUGAUAAAAACUAUAUACAAAAUGUCUGACAAAAUCAUUUCUACUUAGAAUGUAAACAAAUCGGUGAAAUGACAGGAGCAAUUUGUGAAAAAUGCGAGAAUGAUAAUUCUUAAAUAAAAAAAGAUGUGCUUACCAUCAAAUACUUAUUCCAAAUAUUCCAUAUUUUGUUGCUGUUUUGUAUUGUUUGUGGUUUUGUUUUCGAGUAGAGUUUUUAUUUUGUCCUCGGUUGGUUCAGCAACACGCGCCACCAUUUUGUUUUUCUCUACUCACGGUAUAUGAGCCGAUAUCCUAGUAGUAGAGUAGCCAAUCAGAGCAUGCGAUUGCUCAUAUCCAGUGAAUGUGGACAGAAAUAUAUGAUUUAUUGUGUCAUUGUCCUGAUUUAUUGAUGUAAUAUAGGUGAAGUAAAUAUAUAUAUUUCAUCAUCAGAUUUAAAUCUUUAUCUUUUAGGACAUUCUCAAAAUUACUGCUGCAUCAUUUUUUUUCUCUGUCUCGUAUAUUGUCCCGUGUUCUCUCGGUGUUGUUGAUUUACUCUCUUUUUAUUUGUAUUAUUGUUUUUUUUUUAGGUUUUUAUUUUAUUGUAUUCGCUCAUGCUGCUAUGGCAGGAGUCUGAGCCAAAGAAUUUCACUCCUUAUACUUUUAUAAUGGACGGAACAACAGUAAACUGAACUUCACACAGUGUGCUGAUCUCAUCAACAGAGUCGUCUUUCAAUUUUGAGGCAAUUUAUUAUUUUUAACCCACAUUCUGUAACGUUCCUCCCUUUUUCUCUUUCUCCUCCUAUCAGUGUUGUACACAAAACCCAUUCUCAGAUUAUAAUAAUGCGGACUUGCUUGUGUUUCGUAUGUGUGAGUGGAGUGAUUGUUAGUGGUUUAAGUCAUUUUCUGAUGUUUAUGUUUUCACCUCGCUGUGACAUCAUCAGGAGUCUAAUUCCUGUCCUGGACUCCCAGACCAGUCUAGACAUAGUUCAGUCACUUCAAUAGUUCUUCAGUGACUCACGUCAUACCGCCGCUCCCUGCUUUUAUUACCUCACUGGGCCUGUUGUGCUCCUACACUGUAUGGGACACGCCCAAAAAAAACAGAAACUGUUGUUCAGACUCUAAAGUCGCCACUGUGAAUGUGAGAGAAGACGUUUCCUGUGUCUGUGAGUCUCAUCUGGAGAAAUAACAACAGCUGUGGCAGCGGGGGCAUGGUCAAGUGCCGGUCUGUGACAGGAGGGCAGAGUCAGGGAAGGUAAGUGGCAGAAUCACUACACCUGACAUGAAUUAACCUGUUUGUGUGUGUCUUCCCAGUGACCGCGCCCUACUUAAGGAGGGAGAGCGAGAGCAGAGGGGCUGAUCUCCGAACUAGACGCUUCUUAUGUUGAUGUGUGUCUGUUCAUUUGGAAGUUGUUAGACUGAAAAGUGUGGCAAUAAAGCCCUUUUGGAAACCUGA
This is a long non-coding RNA of Neoarius graeffei (lesser salmon catfish), 2938 nucleotides long. RefSeq lists it as uncharacterized. The record is from RefSeq and is a predicted model, not a curated record. NCBI's taxonomy places the organism in Eukaryota, Metazoa, Chordata, Actinopteri, Siluriformes, Ariidae. The transcript has 3 exons.